UGCGUAGGCGGUUCUUUAAGUUUGGUGUGAAAUCUCCCGGCUCAACUGGGAGGGUGCGCCGGAAACUGAAGGGCUCGAGUGCGGGAGGGGAGAGUGGAAUUCCUGGUGUAGCGGUGAAAUGCGUAGAUAUCAGGAGGAACACCUGUGGUGCAAACGGCUCUCUGGACCGUAACUGACGCUGAGGCACGAAAGCGUGGGGAGCAAACAGGAUUAGAUACCCUGGUAGUCCACGCCCUAAACGAUGCACGUUUGGUGUGGGUGAUUCAGUUCAUCCGUGCCGGAGCUAACGCGUUAAACGUGCCGCCUGGGGAGUACAGUCGCAAGGCUGAA
RNAcentral lists this ribosomal RNA (330 nucleotides) under uncultured bacterium. RNAcentral's name for it is "bacterial SSU rRNA". It matches the Rfam family "Bacterial small subunit ribosomal RNA", at positions 568 to 898 of the family's 1533-position model. The record is from RNAcentral.